UACACAAUGGGGUUUCGGGGCUGUGGACCCUGUGCCAGGAAAGGAAGCACGCAGCUCCUGUAAUGCGGAGCAGCCAGGGCAGUGGGCACCAGGCUUUAGCCUCCCUUUCUCACCCUAUGGAGGGCAGGCCCUUCAGCUCCAUUUUCCUCCAAGGCUGCAAAGGGGGCAGGAAUUCGGGGUGACAGGAGAGCCGUAAGGUCUCCAGGUGGGUCAUUCUGGGCUCAGAGAUGGGUGCUGAGGCUCCCAUGCCUCCCUGUGAAAGUGGAGUCCUCUCUCACCUGGGACAGCCAGGUGCUGCCCUGAGAAGGGUGCAUUCAUGGCUUCAUGAAUUCUUUCCUGACCCCCAAUGCUUACUUAUAGAGACAAAGUCUCACUAUGUUGCUCAGGCUGGUCUUGAACUCUUGGCCUCAAGCAAUCCUCCCACCUUAGCCUUCCAAAGUGUUGGGAUUAUAGGCAUGAGCCACUGCACCUGGCCGACCUUGGGCAAGUUCUUAAACCCCUCAAAGCCUCAUUUUUCUCCAAUCAUAAAAGGGAAUGAUGGUAAUAUUUUCCCCGCCAAAUUCUUGGUGGAUGCCCUCACAGAAUUGAGAUUAUAUACGUAAAACACCAAGCGCCUAACCUGGCACAGAGGAGGAGGGCUAAGCAUGACAUCCAGCACAUGGUCAGUGGAAUCCAGUAUUCCUACCCACCUCUCUAGUCUCCCCUCCACCGCUUUCCCUUUCAGAGGCACCAAGCUGCUUGUGGUCUUGCCUAUUCCCACUCCCUGCCCGACUGAACAUUUUCUCACCUCCUGAUCAUCAGCAGCAGAAACUGGCUGCUCUUCCUCCUGGGUAGACAGCCAGACUGUAUUUCCCAGCUGCCCCUGCAGUGAGAUGUGGCCAUCGGAGCCAGCAUUGGCCAAUGGACUCUGCACGGGAGUGACGCAUGCUGCCUCCAGGCUUGUCCCUGAAACCUCCACGUGUCCUCCGCCUGCUCUUCCCACUUCCAAGGAGCACGGCAAUGUGGAAGACCCAGAUUAGUGAUGGCAGAACCAUAGAUGGGAGGAACCUGGGUCCCUGACUUAAAGUAUCAUGGAUUUGGAUGUUCCCUUAGUGACAAAUGAACUUCCAUUGUGUUUAAGCCUUUAUUUGUUUAUAGUUGGUUACAGCAACUGCCUUCUUUUAAUUAAAACACUCCUGCUGCU
This 1183-nucleotide long non-coding RNA is filed under the name Pongo abelii (Sumatran orangutan). RNAcentral describes it as "lincRNA". The record is from RNAcentral. Lineage: Eukaryota; Metazoa; Chordata; Mammalia; Primates; Hominidae.